This 626-nucleotide ribosomal RNA is filed under the name Saccharomyces cerevisiae (brewer's yeast). Its description in RNAcentral is "eukaryotic LSU rRNA". It matches the Rfam family "Eukaryotic large subunit ribosomal RNA", at positions 37 to 668 of the family's 3401-position model. Lineage: Eukaryota; Fungi; Ascomycota; Saccharomycetes; Saccharomycetales; Saccharomycetaceae. The record is from RNAcentral.
UGCAUAUCAAAAAAGCGGAGGAAAAGAAACCAACCGGGAUUGCCUUAGUAACGGCGAGUGAAGCGGCAAAAGCUCAAAUUUGAAAUCUGGUACCUUUGGUGCUCGAGUUGUAAUUUGUAGAAGGCGACUCUGGGGCUGGUCCUUGUCUAUGUUCCUUGGAACAGGACGUCAUGGAGGGUGAGAAUCCCGUGUGGCGAGGAUCCCAGUUCUUUGUAGAGUGCCUUCGAAGAGUCGAGUUGUUUGGGAAUGCAGCUCUAAGUGGGUGGUAAAUUCCAUCUAAAGCUAAAUAUUGGCGAGAGACCGAUAGCGAACAAGUACAGUGAUGGAAAGAUGAAAAGAACUUUGAAAAGAGAGUGAAAAAGUACGUGAAAUUGUUGAAAGGGAAGGGCAUUUGAUCAGACAUGGUGUUUUGUGCCCCUCGCUCCUCGUGGGUGGGGGAAUCUCGCAGCUCACUGGGCCAGCAUCAGUUUUGGCGGCAGGAUAAAUCCCUGGGAAUGUAGCUCUGGCAUUUAUGUUGGAGAACUUAUAGCUCAGGGGAAUACUGCCAGCCGGGACUGAGGAAUGCGACUUUUAGUCAAGGAUGCUGGCAUAAUGGUUAUAUGCCGCCCGUCUUGAACCACGGACCA